Molecule: RNA transcript, 3348 nt
Organism: Globicephala melas (long-finned pilot whale)
Lineage: Eukaryota; Metazoa; Chordata; Mammalia; Artiodactyla; Delphinidae
Gene: AOPEP
Gene name: aminopeptidase O (putative)
Source: RefSeq, a predicted model, not a curated record
GGAUGACGUCACUCGGCGCGUGCCCGGGUAGCCUGUGGUAACACCUAGUCUGCGGAAGUGGAGACGAGCGGGCAGGCGGCUGACACAGGGGACUGAAAGUUGUGGAACCCUAAUUUGUGACAUCGGGUGUUUUUUGGUAAGCAGCCAUUUAUGACUCUGGAAGAUUGGGACUGACAGGAAGCCCCUUCUGAGAUUUAAACAAAGUUCUCGAACAACACCUAUACCAUGGACAUAAAGCUGGAUCCUUCCCGAGAUGACCUGCCUCUCAUGGCCAACACCAGCCACAUACUUGUGAAGCACUAUGUACUGGAUUUAGAUGUGGAUUUCGAAAGUCAAAUCAUUGAGGGCACCAUAGUGCUUUUCUUCGAGUCUGGAAAUAAAUUCAAGAAACAGAGUAGUUCCACCGAGGAAACCUACCCAUCAGAGUCAAACAAAGCCUGCAAAUUUAGGACGCCUGAACCCUGCCAUAUUCCUGUAACAAAUACAAGGACCGUCUCAUCUAAAAUGGGAUAUAAUGAUUUUGUAAUCUGUGGUAAAGGUGAAAAAGAUACGUCUGGUAAAGAUGGUAACCAUGACAACCAGGAACAGGCUUCUGGGAUUUCUAGCUCAAAGUACUGCUGUGACGCAGGGAAUCAUGGGAGUGAGGAUUUUUUGCUAGUGUUGGACUGCUGUGAUUUAUCUGUGUUAAAGGUUGAGGAGGUGGAUGUUGCUGCUGUGCCAGGUAUUGAAAAAUUUACAAGGUCUCCCAAGCUCAGGAAUCAGAUUGUAUGUGAACUCGUGGCUCUGCCUGCAGAUCGUUGGAGGGAGCAGUUAGACUAUUAUGCUCGCUGCAGCCAGGCUCCUGGUUGUGGGGAACUCCUGUUUGACAUUGACACUUGGAGCUUACAGAUCAGGAAGACAGGGGUUCAGACAGCUACUGACUUUCCUCAUGCCAUAAGGAUACAGUACACAACCAAACCCCAGGGGCGAUCAGUUACGUGGACCUCAGACCAGAGUGGCAGGCCAUGUGUUUAUACUAUGGGAUCGCCCAUAAACAACAGGGCCCUUUUUCCAUGCCAGGAGCCACCCGUUGCCAUGUCAACAUGGCAGGCUACGGUUCGAGCAGCUGCAUCUUUUGUUGUUUUAAUGAGUGGGGAAAAUUCUGCCAAGCCAACACAGCUUCGGGAAGGAUGCUCAAGUUGGCAUUACUACGUAACCAUGCCAAUGCCAGCCUCCACCUUCACAAUUGCAGUAGGAUCCUGGACAGAAACGAAGCCAGAGAUCUGCUCAUCAGAUGAUCUGGCAACAGAGAAAUCCUUCUCACCUUUCGAGGCUGACUUCAGGUAUGUUGGUGUUUGUGGUCACAUGGAAUACCCCUGCCGCUUCCAGAACGCUUCUGCCACCACCCAGGAGAUAAUUCCUCAUCGGAUCUUCGCUCCAGUGUGCCUGAAGGGUGCCUGCCAAGAGACCCUUCUGCCGCUGAUCCCUCCUUGCCUCUCAGCAGCACACUCUGUCCUGGGAACACACCCGUUCUCCAGGCUGGAUGUACUCAUUGUUCCUGCCAACUUUCCGAGUCUGGGGAUGGCCAGCCCACACCUCGUCUUCCUCUCUCAGAGCACCUUGACUGGAAUGAGCCAGUUCUGUGGGACCCGUCUCUGCCAUGAAAUUGCUCACGCCUGGUUUGGCCUGGCUAUUGGGGCCCGUGACUGGACGGAAGAGUGGCUCAGUGAAGGGUUCGCCACUCACUUGGAAGAUGUAUUCUGGGCCAAGGCGCAGCAGCUGGCCCCCCACGAGGCCCAGGAGCAGCGGGAGCUGAGGGCUUGCCUGCGCUGGCGUCGCCUUCAGGACGAGGUGCGGAACUCCCCGGAGGAUAUGCAGGUGUUGAGACCCAAUAAAAAGAAAACUGGCCAUGUGAGUGACUCAGGAUCUUCUGUCAUCAAACACGGGCUCAAUCCGGAUAAGGUCUUCAUGCAGGUUCAUUAUUUAAAGGGCUAUUUCCUUCUCCGGUUCCUUGCCAGAAGACUUGGAGAUGACACCUAUUUUUCAUUUUUAAGAAAGUUUGUGCACAAAUUUCAUGGGCAGCUGAUUCUUUCCCAGGAUUUCCUUCAAAUGCUGUUGGAGAGCAUCCCAGAAGAAAGAAGGCUUGAGUUGUCUGUUGAAAACAUCUUCCAAGACUGGCUGGAGAGUUCCGGAAUACCACAGCCGCUGCAGAGGGAGCGCCUGGCCGGGGCGGAGUGCGGGCUCGUGCGGCAAGUGAGCGCCGAGGUCGCCAAAUGGGUCCGAGUGAACAGGAGACCCCGAAAACGGAAACGAAAGGAGACAGAAGAAGUGUUGGAAAAGCUUCUUCCAGACCAGCUGGUCUUGCUUCUGGAGCAUCUCUUGGAGCAGAGGACUCUGAAUCCCCGAACUCUGCAAAGACUUGAGAGGACGUACCACCUCUCGGAGCAGGAUGCAGAGGUUCGCCAUCGAUGGUGUGAACUUGUUGUUAAGCACAAAUACACAGAAGCGUACGGAAACGUGGAGAGGUUCCUUCAGGAGGAUCAGGGUCUUUGUAACUUCCAGACCAGCAAGUCCGUGCGGAACAAGCACAGACUGUGCACUCGAGCGCGUGGGGACACACGAUUGCCUUUUCUUCAGCUCUCUGGCCUCUGUGCCUUCCGCAGGCCAUGGGCAUCUACCUCUACGGGGAGCUGAUGGUGAGUGAGGAUGCCCGGCAGCAGCGUCUCGCCCGCAGGUGCUUCGAGCUGAGCAAGGAGCAGAUGGACAGAUCCUCAGCAGAGGUGGUGGCCGAGAUGUUAUAUUAAAGAGGAAAGAUCACAGCGAGAUUCUUUUUCAUGCAUCUACUCGUAGCCCUGGUGGGACCAGGAUCACAUUGACCCUGGACAUCAAAGGAAGGAUUAUGGGGCUGCUAAAGCCAUCAGCCGGCAGCAGUGUGCACACUGGGGCGACCUUCCCAGAGGCCGUGGCCCUCACAGUGGAGCCCGUGUCAGAGGCACAUCCUUGUAAACGGUCUCCACGGGGCUGUGUGAUGCCUCUGUGCCCACCCUGGCUGUGCCACCUCAAGAUCCUGAAUCUGAAUUGAGUCUCCCCUGUGAGUUCAAUGCAGUUUUCACACAAAGAUGGAAGAUACCUGAGGCCCGUCGGAAGACCUGCUGAACCUCCUCCAUCCGUCCCUCAGCAUGUGGAUGUUUGUUUCUGUGCUUCCAGAAGGUCAGGGUUUCUGCGUACUGGGACCACCUCUGCGGGAUUACUUUGAUUGAUAGGUCCCGUAUUUAGAUUUUCCAAAAUUUUAGUACCUUUUGGUAGAAGUACAGGAUAACACUCGAAGAUGUAUUAAUAAUAAAAUGUAAUGGAUUCGUUUUUUUUUUU